This 6255-nucleotide long non-coding RNA is filed under the name Brassica napus (rape). Its description in RNAcentral is "long non-coding RNA (BNAP_LNC012637)". Lineage: Eukaryota; Viridiplantae; Streptophyta; Magnoliopsida; Brassicales; Brassicaceae. The record is from RNAcentral.
CACGCAGCUUUGCUCCUAGCGCUGAGAACUGAUGAGUAGGUCACCUUAGCGGCUGGUUCCUUUGGCUUCUUCUCCACCUUCUUUGGUGGCACAACUACUUCAGCGUGUUUGGUCUGUUGUGGCUGCUUAAGCUUGAUCACAAGGUUUUUCUUGGGAACCGCCUUUUGAGCUUCUUGGUUCUUGUUUCUUGGAGCAAGAGGGUGUGGCUUCUUUUCGCAAUUGAUUGGCUUCUGGGCGUUGGCUAGCAGCUGAGCGCGGAAGCUUCGGGUGAUGGGACGGUUGAUCGGAGGCUGAGGCUUCCCUCCUUGAGCCACGGGAACGGAAACAAGGUUGUUUCCGAUGUCACCGAGCGGGCGGCGAUUCUUCACGGCGCCGUUCUUGUUAACACCUGAGAAGAAGAAACACAUAUGUUGAUAAUCUGAUCUUCGAUUCAUAACCACAAUCAAAUCAAUUCAGAUAUUUUCAAAACCCCGAUCGGAUCUAAAUCAAACGAAACCCAGAUUCGAUUUAAACUGCGAUGAAUUUCAAUUUCAACUUCAAUUUCAAAUCAAACAAACACAGAUUAAAACUCAGAUCGAUCGAAAUCAACGAAAAACAAAAAGACGGCGAAUAACAAUACCUCUGACUUGUUCAGGCAUGUUGGUUCUCGUCGCCAUUCUUGAUCUUUGGACUUGAUUUUCUCUCUUGGUGAAGAAGAGUUUGUGAGAACUGAGAGAUUCUGAUGGGAGAGAGCGUCUUCUUAUGAAGGAGGAGCCAACGGCUCGCUUCCAACGGUCAUAUUUUUGGUCAUCUUUUAUUUCUCGCCGUUGGAUCAUUAGGUUUUUAGAUCUGACGGUUGAUAAACAAUCAACGAUACUGUAAUGCGCUGGCACCGGGCCGUUGGGCUGUGUUAUUAAAAAGCCCAUUUCAAGGCCCAAAGAAUGUAUAUGAACCCUAACUAACCAGAGAGUCGUAUCGUCUUCUAUAAUCGCUUAAACCCUAACCGCCACCAUCUUCCCCUUCCUCUUCCCUUUUCAAUUUUCAAGUUUCUUGCUGCAACAAUGGAGGAUGAGCUUAGAGUUCGACUCAACGAUCACCAACCAUCGAAGAUCUUCCCAGUGAAGCCCAAAUCAACUCCCAGACCCCUCUCCAAACCCGAAACCCCCGAUUCUCGAUACUGGUCCUCCUUCAAACCCCACUCAAUCCCCAACCUCGUAUCCUCCGUCUCCGCCGUCGCCUUCUCUCCGAUCCACCCCCACUCCUUCGCCGUCGCUCACUCCACCACCGUCUCCCUCUUCUCCUCCAACACGCUAACCGCCUCGCGCCGCUUCUCCUUCAAAGACGUCGUCUCCUCCGUCUCCUUCCGCUCCGACGGAGCCCUCCUCGCAGCCUCCGACCUCUCCGGGACUGUCCAGGUCUUCGACGUCAAGGAGCGGAUGGCUCUCCGCAGCCUCCGCUCCCACAAGGCGGCGGCGAGGUUCGUGAAGUACCCCGUCCACGACAAGCUCCACCUGGUGUCGGGAGGAGACGACGGAGUCGUCAAGUACUGGGACGUCGCCGGGGGCACGGUUAUCUCCGAUCUAAUCGGACAUAAAGAUUACGUUCGGUGCGGAGACUGCUCUCCGGUGAACGAUUCGAUGUUCGCUACGGGGGCUUACGAUCAUACCAUCAAGGUGUGGGACGCGAGAGUGGGGAAUUCGAAAUGGAUAGCUGAGAUCAACCACGGGGCACCUGUGGAGGAUAUUGUGUAUUUGCCGUCUGGUGGUAUGAUCGCGACGGCUGGAUUGAACAGCGUGAAAGUGUGGGACUUGAUCGGAGGAGGGAGGAUGGUUUGUUCCAUGGAGAGUCAUAACAAGACGGUGACGUGUCUCUCCGUGGGGAGGAUGGGGUUGGAAGGGGAGAAUAGGCUUGUGAGCGUUGCGUUAGACGGUUACAUGAAGGUGUUUGAUUACGGGAGGGGGAAGGUUACUUACUCCAUGAGGUUUCCAGCUCCUUUAAUGUCCGUUGGGCUCUCUCCGGAUAGUUCGGUUCGUGUUGUUGGAGGUUCUAACGGUAUGGUGUUUGCUGGGAAGAAGAAGAAGAAGGUGAGAGAUGAGGAGGAGAAGAAGAAAGCUAGCGUGAUGACGAGUUUUUGGAGUUUUAAGAGCGAAGUGGAUGAGAGUAGGAGAAGGGCGUUGAGGCCGAGUUACUUCAGGUAUUUCCAGAGAGGGCAGAGCGAGAAGCCGUCGAAAGAUGAUUACUUGGUGAAGGAGAGGAAAGGAGUGAAGCUGACGAGGCACGAUAAGCUGUUGAAGAAGUUCAGGCAUAAGGAGGCUUUGGUCUCUGUUUUGGAGGAGAAGAAGCCGGCCGACGUGGUGGCGGUGAUGGAGGAGUUGGUGGCGAGGAGGAAGAUUGUCAAGUGCGUGUCGAAUUUGGAGGAAGGUGAGUUGGGAUUGCUGCUCAGUUUCUUGCAGAGGUACUGUACCGUGGAGAGGUAUUCGAAACUGUUGAUGGCGUUGACGAAGAAGGUUUUGGAGACUAGAGGUGAGGAUAUUAACGGUAAAGAGGAGUUUAAAGGGAUUCUGAGGAACCUGAAGAGGGAGGUGAAUCAGGAGAUUAAGAUUCAACAGUCUCUGUUGGAGAUUCAGGGUGUUAUUGCUCCUUUGAUGAGAAUUGCUGGGAGAUGAUUAAUCAAAUGUAAGCUUUUUGGAUGCUUUGUUUUAUUGUAAUGCUAUUAUUCUAGAUUAUAUUUCAAGUUUUGUUUUAUUUCAAUUGCUGGGAGAUGAUGAAAGAAUCAAUGCAAGUUUUGUUUGCUUCUUUUGCUUUGUUUUUAUGUUAAUGCUGCUGCUACUCAGUUUUUAACUAUUUAUUCACGGUUUACACAAAUUCUAUAAUGAAAUUCUACAAAACUAAACAUGGGAACAAAUGAAUCUCUUUGGAAAUGAGAAACAAUUAGAGAAAAAAUAUUAUAUACUUUGGUAAAUGUAAGUGAUCAAAAAUGUCAAAUUGUGAGAAUCAUCAUCUGAAAUUUAUAUAACUCAAGAAUUCUCUUUUGUAACGAUUUUAUAUCCUUGAUUUGUAAUGGUCAAUCGAAUAACAAAUCAAAGGUUUGAGUUUAUUUAAAAGACAAUACUUGACAAAUGGUCUGAUAUUAUAAAGAAGAAAGGUAAGUCUGAUGAGGCCUCUAGCACAUUCCUGAAUGUGAACAAUCAGAUGAGACCUUGACGUUUAAGAUCAGAGUAAGUCUUCUUGUUGUAAACGUUACCAUCACCAUCUUCAUAUUCUUCUUCAACCUCUGGCUUCCAUUUGUUAACUCCUUGCCUCUCCUGUAUCCUCUUCCACAGUUCUUUCGCUUCCUGCAACAAAUCACAAGAUCAAAAUUACCAAAACUAUUGCUUUAAACUAAAUCAAAGUCUUCUUCUUUUGAUAAUAAUAACAAUGUAUACCUUAAUAGAAGUGAUCUCGUUGAAGUUCUUUGUGUUUGGGAUCCCCAAGCAACGCAUUCCAUCUUGGUGUUGAGGCUCUUUAAAAUGUCUCUCAAAAGCCCUUCUCCCCUUGUAGAUUUUGUUUCUACAUAUCUCGCAUUCAAAUUUCUACACCAAAAUAACAACACACAAAUUUUGAGUAGUCCCAUAUAAGUAUUAUUAUAACAUUGAUGGUCUAAUAAACUCGACUACAUACCUGGCCAAGGCCAUGAAGCUUGUAGAGCCAGUAUGGUAUAGGCUUCCCGUCCACACCCAUUGGCAGGUUCAGUGGAUUGUGAAAGGCACCUUCCUCCUCUUCAUCACUUUCUAUCUCUGCCCGUCCUUCCUCCCCCUUGCGUUCUUCCUCCAUCUCUUCAUACGUCAUGGCCUGCUUCUUUACAAUGUUUUGCUUAGUCCUUUCGAUUGCCUAUUCAAAAUUUCAGACAACAAACAAAGUUAAAAUGUCAGCUCUUAGGGAGAAAACAAUAGAUGUAUCAAAGAGGUACUUCCACGAACUAACCUCAUCAAGUAAGUUGCAGAGCUUCUUCACUUUGGCCUCUGUUAGUGCAAUCUGUUUAGCACUGUCUGGCUCCUGCGUUGCUUUGGCAUCUCCAUUUUGUCUCCCUUUGUGCAGAGGUUUGGCAAAAUGUUUCUUAUCCAGCUUUUCCAGAGGCGAAUGCUGAACAUAAACAGAAUCAAUAAAUGGCAUAAGAUAACAUCAACUUGAUAACAAGACAGAGCUACUAAUCAGUACAACGCAAAACUAAAUAAAAACAAUGCGUUUCUAGGAGAUCAAGACAAGUGUACGAACCUUUGUGAGGAAAAGUCUCUCGGCACGCUGCUGCAGUGUACCACCAACUUUAAGUCCCAAAGACCCCAGCGCCUGAAUCACAUAAAACACAUAAUUAGAGGAAUAAUUCUUCAGUGAUCAUAAAAAACAUGAAGCAUGGUCAUUACCUCCUUCAGCUUUUCAGGUCCCACACCAGUCAAUUCAUCAGCUGUGGUGUAGUAACCAAGAUCUAUGACAGUAUGCUCAGAUGGAACAAGUUUACUUUCCUGGCCGUGGCUCUCCCAGCCUAUCACUUUUCCAUCUGCAAAUUGCUCUUCAAAAUCAACCUCAACCUGUAAGAAACCAACGUAUUAAUUGCAAGAGAUCAAACUGCAUAAAACAAUAAAGAGAGGGAGGAGAGUUUAAACCUUGGAAAGCAUUCUGUCAAGGUCUUGCAACGGCUCAGUUCGGUGGAGAAAGUUGACCAAGUACUCUAGCAGAGCUUCCAUGUACUUCAUGUAUUGCCUAAAAGGACAACAAGGAAAGCCAUUAACAUACAGGUACUAGAAACAAAUAUGGAGGCUUUUUAAGUAUAUAACAAAAUUUCAAUGUAAUGUUUACCUUGAAAACUUCAGUCUGCGAGGUACUUUCUCUGGAUGAGAAAAGACAUCGAGGUAAACAGAAUAUUCAACCCUGUCCCCGAAUUUAGAGUUGAUGUACUGGUUAUACAUAUCAUGCAAGUCCAAGUACCGACCAGCUCCUUCCUGCACAGUACACAAAGAAGAUUUAAACAAUUUUAGAAAUUCUAUAAACUACCAUGAAGCUAGUAAUGUUAAAAAAAAAAAAACGGACUAAUAAUGCUCUGUUAAAAUGUUUCAAGAAUAAGAAGUCAAACAGAAAAAUUACCUCUCCACUGAAGGAAAUAACUGGUUUCGCCUUCAGAAGUGCUUCGUAGUCCGCGCUGGCAUCAACAAGAGGUCCAGGAGGAUACUUUCUAUGGUACUCACGUAUCUGUAAGAAGGUAAAAAAGAUAGGGGUUAAUUAGUUGCAUAUCUGAUAGAAUAAAUACCAAGGAUUCAGUUGAUAAACAAUCUAUUCAAGAAGACCUCUACGAAACAUCAAAACUAGAAAUUUGAAUCUUAUUCAGGGUUUGCACUCUACUUCGCUGAAAUAUAUGAACAUGGUUCUUAACUCUCUAUGACCAGUGGAUUAAGAUAAUCAAUGAAAUUAUAAUUAACAGGUUGCUAAAUCUCUCAUUCUCGAUUAACCGAUACUAUUCAAAAUUCAGCUACUCUAUUUUAGAAACAAACAAUGGUAACUUUUGAGAAAUAAAAAUAAAAAAGGCAAAAGGGAUAGAAAGCAAAACCUCUUUCAAACGAUCAUAAAACGCACAGUACACAUUAACCCCUGACGCAGUCCGGCCACCAAGCGCAGCAAUCUCAUCUUCCCUAGCUCCAUCCUUAUCUUCAUAAGUUUCAACCUUUACAGCCAACACAAGAAUCAACGUUAGCUUUAAUAUCUAAAGAUACGAAACUACACAGUCAUUAAAAAAAAAGCCUAAAGUGGCCUCUAUGAUGAUUGUACCUUAGCGGCUGGUUCCUUUGGCUUCUUCUCCACCUUCUUUGGUGGCACAACUACUUCAGCGUGUUUGGUCUGUUGUGGCUGCUUAAGCUUGAUCACAAGGUUUUUCUUGGGAACCGCCUUUUGAGCUUCUUGGUUCUUGUUUCUUGGAGCAAGAGGGUGUGGCUUCUUUUCGCAAUUGAUUGGCUUCUGGGCGUUGGCUAGCAGCUGAGCGCGGAAGCUUCGGGUGAUGGGACGGUUGAUCGGAGGCUGAGGCUUCCCUCCUUGAGCCACGGGAACGGAAACAAGGUUGUUUCCGAUGUCACCGAGCGGGCGGCGAUUCUUCACGGCGCCGUUCUUGUUAACACCUGAGAAGAAGAAACACAUAUGUUGAUAAUCUGAUCUUCGAUUCAUAACCACAAUCAAAUCAAUUCAGAUAUUUUCAAAACCCCGAUCGGAUCUAAAUCAAACGAAACCCAGAUUCGAUUUAAACUGCGAUGAAUU